CCUACGGGCGGCAGCAGUGAGGAAUAUUGGUCAAUGGACGAGAGUCUGAACCAGCCAAGUAGCGUGAAGGAUUACUGCCCUAUGGGUUGUAAACUUCUUUUAUAUGGGAAUAAAAUGUUCCACGUGUGGGAUUUUGUAUGUACCAUAUGAAUAAGGAUCGGCUAACUCCGUGCCAGCAGCCGCGGUAAUACGGAGGAUCCGAGCGUUAUCCGGAUUUAUUGGGUUUAAAGGGAGCGUAGGUGGAUUGUUAAGUCAGUUGUGAAAGUUUGCGGCUCAACCGUAAAAUUGCAGUUGAAACUGGCAGUCUUGAGUACAGUAGAGGUGGGCGGAAUUCGUGGUGUAGCGGUGAAAUGCUUAGAUAUCACGAAGAACUCCGAUUGCGAAGGCAGUUCACUGGACUGCAACUGACACUGAGGCUCGAAAGUGGGGGUAUCAAACAGGAUUAGAUACCCCGGUAGUC
Molecule: ribosomal RNA, 460 nt
Filed under: uncultured bacterium
Lineage: Bacteria
Description: partial 16S ribosomal RNA
Rfam family: Bacterial small subunit ribosomal RNA
Source: RNAcentral